AUGGUGAAGGCAGUCAGGAAAAUGAAGGUAAGCGCAAAAGAAAAAAGUCGAAAUAUUGUCAAUCCCCCUACGACAUUCUCAUUACCUGCAAGAAACGUGUUAAAAAAAAUCAUCAAUGCAUAUUGUAAACACCUACAACACCGUGAUUUUUCUGAUCGUUACAUAUCAACAACGUGGUUCCCCAAAUUUAUGUUGAAUGGGGCAAGGGAAAAGACCAAGUCAGUAAAUGAUUUAGACUCGGAGAAUGUUACAAAGAAAACAAAAGUCCUCGCAAGAGUAAUGGAUGAGUAUUUCAGACGGGACAAGGCGUAUUUUCCUAUGCACGUUAAUGAUAAUCAUUGGAUAACCAUAGUGAUGCACACCGUCAAGGAGGAGUUUCAAGUUCUUGACUCAAAUUCUAAAGGCGCAAUUAGCCAAAGAAUUCGCAAUAUGAUUGCCACCCUGGCCAAAUCAACUCUUGAAGCAAAAAAAAUUCCAGAUGUCUCAUCGUGGCCAAUAAAUGAGUAUAAAAUGCCGAGACAAAAAGAUGGAGUGUCUUGUGGACUUUUUGUGAUGUGGUGCAUAAAAUACUGGGACGAAGAUCGCUGGACACAUGAAUUUGACCAGGAAGAGAUUAAUGCGUCAAGGCCACGUAUUGUCGCGGAAAUUAUUUUUUCAGAGGUGAACAAAUUAGAGAAGGUCAAGAUGAAAAUUGUUAAAAUCAUGGAGAAGGAAUAG
RNAcentral lists this ribosomal RNA (717 nucleotides) under Triticum aestivum (bread wheat). RNAcentral describes it as "partial small subunit ribosomal RNA". The record is from RNAcentral. Lineage: Eukaryota; Viridiplantae; Streptophyta; Magnoliopsida; Poales; Poaceae.